CUGUGUCACCCCAUCUCUUGGCCCCUCCCCUGCUCAUACUCUCUCUCCCUCAUACACAAAAAUAAAUAGUUAAAAAUAUAUUUUUUAUGAAAUAUAGGAAUUCCUGAACACCUACUUUGCCCCCGAGCUUCUUAGCAGCCAAACCAGAAGGUGGAAACUUAUCAUUUGCUCCUUCUCACUGAGGUGUGAGAGAAAUUUCUCCAGUGGCUCCUCUUACAGGGAUUGAAGAAUGGGCAAGUUGCACAGCCCUUCAUUAAUGGUUUUCCUCUCGUGGUUGACAUUUGGGUCGGCCAGCGGAAAGUUGAGAAUCACUGUCUUUGCUUAGAAUUUGGCUUUUCUUCAUUGCCAGUCAAGGGCACGGGACAUGAGGUUUGCAGCCAGUCGAGCAAGGGUUUGGAUGGACUCCUUAUAAAAAUUAAAGAUUUCCACUUCACAGAAUAAUGAAAUAGCUUGCAUAGGACCCCACGUGGGUAAAAAUUACAAAUUCUAGGCAACAAAUUUAGGGGAAAAAACCCCAACCAUUGAAGGCACCAGAAAAUCACGGAGGCAGGCAGAAACAAAAUAAUUUGAUCAUUGAAAGGCAGAGGUCACCAUGGGUUGGCUCUGUGUUCAAGAGUUUCAUUCCCCUGGGGACACCGCCCAGUCUGUGCAGCUCGGGCCCAAGAAGACUAUCCUCUCUUUGGCUUGGGGCAUCGGGGGAAUAUCAAGGUAUCAGAGCUCAGGACUCCCACAAUGGAAGAAAAUCGAUGGGUGAAAUCUGGGAAGGAGGGAGCCAGAGGGGGGGGACGCCUCAAAAUCUGUGAAGAAACCUCCACAUCUUUCUCUAAUCUAAUGUAGUAGAUAGAGGUCAAUACAGCUCGUUUAUCCAAAAGCAGCUUUAAGUAACCAGGAUGCAGACUUUCCAAAGAGGAAGGGAAGGGAGGGAUCAGAACAUGUCACACUCUCCACCCCCGACCCCCAGCUGUUGAGAUGUCUGUCGUCCUCAUCCUCGUGCUAACUGCGGGGACUUUGGUGACUCCUCAGAAGAGGCCUCCCCUGGGCAUCCUAAUUCUUGUCUGAUCGUGAUGGUUUUAAACGGUCCAAUUACUUCAUAGUAACAUUUAGGAUUCCAGCACUGUGGUCCCAAGGGCUUUUUUGGCAGGGUCUUGACUUCUGAAAUUAACUCAGCCCGGAGAAGCCAUACCUCUGAGAUAGUGUAAUGUAAGGACUGUAAUCUAGAAAUUUUCCAUCCGAAAGCAUAACAAAUAUCUGACUGGUUUGCAUUUUAGGUUUUGGAGAAUCAAAAGAGUCUUUGUGGCAUUUUUAAUAUCCCUCAAGUUCUGAACUCAAAGAACUUGUGUUUUUAUGGCACAUUUUCUUCAGGAUCACGUAUUUAUACUCGGGGAAAAGAAUUUCUGUUCUUUAUUAUAUAAUGCUUUGGAACACUCUCACAUUAAAUAACUGAAUCAAAUUGAAA
Molecule: long non-coding RNA, 1456 nt
Organism: Leopardus geoffroyi (Geoffroy's cat)
Lineage: Eukaryota; Metazoa; Chordata; Mammalia; Carnivora; Felidae
Exons: 2
Source: RefSeq, a predicted model, not a curated record